AGCCAUCCUUUAAAGAAAGCGUAACAGCUCAUUGGUCUAGUUUUUUUGCGUUGAAAAUGUAAAGGGACUAAAAUUACUUGCCGAAACAGUAGAUUUGCUUUUUUAGCAAAUGGUAGCAGAACGUUCUGUAAGUCUGUAAAGAUUUAUAGUAAUAUAAAUUAGAGAUAUCAGAAGUGAUAAUGUUGGUAUGAGUAGCGAUAAACAUCGUGAGAAACGAUGUCGUCUUAAAUUCAAGGUUUCCGAGUGAAAGGCUAAUCCUCCUCGGCGUUAAUCGGUCUCUAAAAGAACAAAACGAAAGUUUUGCUUGAUGAGUAAAAAGAUUUUUAAUUCUUUUUUAAUUUUAAUGUGACAAAAUACAAAUAUUAUUUUUUUUUAAUGGUAAUAAAAAAGGUUUUAUAGUGUUUUCAAGAAACAGCAUUAAAAUUGUUGAUAUAACCGUACCCUAAACCGACACAGGU
RNAcentral lists this ribosomal RNA (458 nucleotides) under Cyclophora tenuis. RNAcentral's name for it is "partial Bacterial large subunit ribosomal RNA". It matches the Rfam family "Bacterial large subunit ribosomal RNA", at positions 1114 to 1664 of the family's 2925-position model. The record is from RNAcentral. Lineage: Eukaryota; Bacillariophyta; Fragilariophyceae; Cyclophorales; Cyclophoraceae.